Molecule: ribosomal RNA, 395 nt
Filed under: uncultured Thermus sp.
Lineage: Bacteria; Thermotogati; Deinococcota; Deinococci; Thermales; Thermaceae
Description: bacterial SSU rRNA
Rfam family: Bacterial small subunit ribosomal RNA
Source: RNAcentral
UAGGGAACCCGGGUGAAAGCCUGGGUGCCCCGCGAGGGAGCCCUAGCACAGGUGCUGCAUGGCCGUCGUCAGCUCGUGCCGUGAGGUGUUGGGUUAAGUCCCGCAACGAGCGCAACCCCCGCCGUUAGUUGCCAGCGGUUCGGCCGGGCACUCUAACGGGACUGCCCGCGAAAGCGGGAGGAAGGAGGGGACGACGUCUGGUCAGCAUGGCCCUUACGGCCUGGGCGACACACGUGCUACAAUGCCCACUACAAAGCGAUGCCACCCGGCAACGGGGAGCUAAUCGCAAAAAGGUGGGCCCAGUUCGGAUUGGGGUCUGCAACUCGACCCCAUGAAGUCGGAGUCGCUAGUAAUCGCAGAUCAGCAACGCUGCGGUGAAUACGUUCCCGGGCCUU